GACGAACGCUGGCGGCGUGCUUAACACAUGCAAGUCGAACGGAAAGGCCCCUUCGGGGGUACUCGAGUGGCGAACGGGUGAGUAACACGUGAGUAACCUGCCCUUGACUUCGGGAUAACUUCAGGAAACUGGGGCUAAUACCGGAUAGGAAUCCUUGCUGCAUGGUGGGGGUUGGAAAGCUUCGGCGGUUGUGGAUGGACUCGCGGCUUAUCAGCUUGUUGGUGGGGUAGUGGCUUACCAAGGCUUUGACGGGUAGCCGGCCUGAGAGGGCGACCGGCCACACUGGGACUGAGAUAAGGCCCAGACUCCUACGGGAGGCAGCAGUGGGGAAGAUUGCACAAUGGGCGGAAGCCUGAUGCAGCAACGCCGCGUGCGGGAUGACGGCCUUAGGGUUGUAAACCGCUUUCAGCAGGGGCGAAGCUUGUGGUGACGGUACCUGCAGAAGAAGCACCGGCUAACUACGUG
Molecule: ribosomal RNA, 465 nt
Filed under: uncultured bacterium
Lineage: Bacteria
Description: partial 16S ribosomal RNA
Rfam family: Bacterial small subunit ribosomal RNA
Source: RNAcentral